This 443-nucleotide ribosomal RNA is filed under the name uncultured bacterium. RNAcentral's name for it is "bacterial SSU rRNA". It matches the Rfam family "Bacterial small subunit ribosomal RNA", at positions 331 to 792 of the family's 1533-position model. The record is from RNAcentral.
CCAGACUCCUACGGGAGGCAGCAGUGGGGAAUAUUGCACAAUGGGGGGAGCCCUGAUGCAGCAAUGCCGCGUGGGUGAAGAAGCACUCCGGUGCGUAAAGCCCUGUCAGCAGGGAAGAAAAUGACAGUACCUGGACAAGAAGCCCCGGCUAACUCCGUGCCAGCAGCCGCGGUAAUACGGAGGAUGCGAGCGUUAUCCGGAUUUAUUGGGUUUAAAGGGUGCGCAGGCGGCGAGUUAAGUCAGCGGUAAAAUUGGGGGGCUCACCCCGGGCAAGCCGUUGAAACUGGCUUGCUAGAGUGGGCGAGAAGUAUGCGGAAUGCGUGGUGUAGCGGUGAAAUGCAUAGAUAUCACGCAGAACUCCGAUUGCGAAGGCAGCAUACCGGCGCCCAACUGACGCUCAGGCACGAAAGCGUGGGUAUCGAACAGGAUUAGAUACCCGUGUA